CUUUUUCAGGCUGGGGCAAAGGGGAAAAACUCUGUAGCCCUUGUCAGGCAAGCAAACAUCUGGCUCUCAUCAGUCUUAUCGUGGCUUACUUGAUGACUUUGAACUGUUUGUCUCUCGUAAAAAAUAUGUUAACAGAGAAGAUUACAAAACUGUGCCAGAGUUCCACCAGUUCAACUCUUUGGGGUCGGGGAUCUCGUUGUCGCUAUAUUUUCUUUUGUUGAUUAGCCAAACAUGGUUGUUGGAGGCGCAUAACGAACAGAACGGUGAGCGUGGGGAAGUGGCUGGAGAAAUUGGAUGUGGAAAAAAAUGGCGGAAGCAGAUGAUGAAGUGGAUUCUGAAUCUAAUAGUGGUAGAAUCAAGGAGAAUUGGAAUAUUGUCCAAAAGAAAGGAAAAAGGAGCAAAGUAGAGUACAGAGAAAAGAAUGUCACUUCGUAUCUUGUAGGAGUACGGUUUGUAAAUGAGGAGCAGCUGAACGAAUUACCAAUAUUGAGGAAUCCAUUUGAGAUAUCCAAACUGGUGGAAAGAGUGCUGGGAAGAGUGAAGGCUGUGAUGAUCACUAGAGGAACAGGGCACAUCUCAAGGGGCUUAUAUCUGGCGUAUCGUGGGAAGUAUAUGUUGAUGAGACAAAACAUAUUCCUGGAGUAAUUGAUGCACGUCUGAUGAAUCGUAGGUGAAUGAAGAAAAGUGAGUUUAUCUGUUUUGUUUGUUGAUAUGGAGUCUCUCCCUACUCAAGUGCAGUUGGGGUAUAUUAACUACAGUCAGAGCAUUUAUCCCAAGACCAAUGCAGUGGGAUCAUUGUGGGAUCUUGCAGACUUGUUUACGCUGCUGUGCGUUUUGUAGCCGAUCUUACUUUGCUACCUGACGGUUUUUUACUUUUUCAUUGCCGUAUAUUUUUACUUUUUCCCUCACUCAACUUUUUUCAUUCAACUUUUUCACCCCGGAGGUUUUAUCUGAACAUGGUUCGUCAGGACUUCAAACAGCCGAAGCUAAGUAACAUUAACAUGAUGCCUUCUAAUUGCAGUCGUUGUACUUAUAAUAUACAGGAGAACGAUCGCCUUACGGCAAGGAUAGCUGUGCUGCAAGCCCGUUAGGCAAGGGUAAUUUCACUGUAGGAAAGGAUGAAACAGCGUCUGUGCCACCAGUAAGUACAGAUAGUAACGUUAGUAUAAACCCCCUCGCACGGUCCCCGCAGCCGGACAUCUUUCUCAUGGCUUCUGGAGGGAAACGCUGUAGGAAUGCUCAACCGGUGUCGCUUAUUCAGCCG
Molecule: long non-coding RNA, 1264 nt
Filed under: Salmo salar (Atlantic salmon)
Lineage: Eukaryota; Metazoa; Chordata; Actinopteri; Salmoniformes; Salmonidae
Description: lncRNA (ENSSSAG00000114378.1)
Source: RNAcentral